This 253-nucleotide ribosomal RNA is filed under the name uncultured bacterium. Its description in RNAcentral is "partial 16S ribosomal RNA". It matches the Rfam family "Bacterial small subunit ribosomal RNA", at positions 524 to 776 of the family's 1533-position model. The record is from RNAcentral.
UACGUAGGGUCCUAGCGUUGUCCGGAAUCAUUGGGCGUAAAGAGCGUGUAGGCGGCCCGGUAAGUCCGCUGUGAAAGCCGGGGGCUCAACCCUCGAAUGCCGGUGGAUACUGUCGGGCUAGAGUGCGGAAGAGGCGAGUGGAAUUCCUGGUGUAGCGGUGGAAUGCGCAGAUAUCAGGAGGAACACCGGUGGCGAAGGCGGGAUCCUGGGCCAGUACUGACGCUGAGGAGCGAAAGCGUGGGGAGCAAACAGG